GACGAACGCUGGCGGCGUGCUUAACACAUGCAAGUCGAACGGACUACUAGUGAAAGCUUGCUGGAUCUGGUAGUUAGUGGCGGACGGGUGAGUAACACGUGAGAACCUAUCCCAACCCGGGGGACAACAGGUGGAAACGCCUGCUAAUACCCCAUAGGCGCAGAGAUGCGUGAAAGGAGCAAUCCGGGGGGGGAGGGGCUCGCGGCCUAUCAGCUAGUAGGUGGGGUAACGGCCUACCUAGGCGAUGACGGGUAGCCGGCCUGAGAGGGCGCACGGCCACACUGGAACUGAGACACGGUCCAGACUCCUACGGGAGGCAGCAGUGGGGAAUCUUGGGCAAUGGGGGCAACCCUGACCCAGCGACGCCGCGUGAGGGACGAAAUCCCUUGGGAUGUAAACCUCUGUUGUGCGGGACGAAGGACGUGACGGUACCGCACGAGGAAGCCCCGGCAAACUACGUG
Molecule: ribosomal RNA, 461 nt
Filed under: uncultured organism
Description: bacterial SSU rRNA
Rfam family: Bacterial small subunit ribosomal RNA
Source: RNAcentral